Caretta caretta (loggerhead turtle) is the source of this 829-nucleotide non-coding RNA. NCBI's taxonomy places the organism in Eukaryota, Metazoa, Chordata, Testudines, Cheloniidae. The record is from RefSeq and is a predicted model, not a curated record.
GGAGGCAGCAUGGAGCUGGUCGGAAGAGGCAGCCAGGGACGGAAGAGACAAAGGCAGGGACCCUCUGCUCCGGGGUCCGGGGAGGUUUGACAGCAGAGCAAAUCUGUCUUGGCUGCUGACUGAAGGAUGUGCUCAGCACCUUGUAGGAUUGAGCCCCCAGAUCCUGCAAAGAUUGACGUGUGGUCCUUAGCUUUAAUCAGUAUGGGCUAGUUCAGAACUCAAAGACAUGGAUUUCCUACUGAGUGCUGAGAUCUGCUGCCAGGAAUGGCUGCUUUCCAAGAAAAUGUGCUACCUUUUCAAGAUAAGUGUUCUCAGGUGUAAGAAUGUCUUCACUGCUGAAUUUGUUUGCUUGCAACAUUUUUAACAAUAUGUAAUCUUCCAAAUAUUUAAUUUAAGCAAGCUGUGCAACAUAAAAAUAAUGGGGAAAGAAAAACCUUGAUGGCUCAGAACUCUAAUCCUUUCUAGCGCUAGUGGUGUGCUCUGCUGAGGACUGUGAUUCCAAUCAGUGCACUGCUCUCAAAGCUGGGAAACAGACUGGCAGGACUAGCACUGCAAGGCAAGUUUCAAGUUCGGUCGCUCAACAAAAAGCCCUUCUUUUUUUUAAUUACAGAUAUUGCUUUUCCCUAGGGAAGGAAUUCUGGGACAAUACUGGUGCAUACUGGGAAAUUUUAGAUCACAGUAUUUAUCUACAUAGCCCAUUACGGACUAGUGAAAAGGCUGUUUUGGAGCAUAAUGGAUAGUGACUUUUUUUUUUUUUUUUUGCUGUUGCGUUUACUCAGCCAUCUGGUCUAAGCAUCCCUGAUGGUGCUGUAAAGUCAGGAAAAAUGUU